GAUGAACGCUGGCGGCGUGCCUAAUACAUGCAAGUCGAGCGAACAGACGAGGAGCUUGCUCCUCUGACGUUAGCGGCGGACGGGUGAGUAACACGUGGAUAACCUACCUAUAAGACUGGGAUAACUUCGGGAAACCGGUGCUAAUACCGGAUAAUAUAUUCAACCGCAUGGUUCAAUAGUGAAAGACGGUUUUGCUUUCACUUAUAGAUGGAUCCGCGCCGCAUUAGCUAGUUGGUAGGGUAACGGCUUACCAAGGCAACGAUGCGUAGCCGACCUGAGAGGGUGAUCGGCCACACUGGAACUGAGACACGGUCCAGACUCCUACGGGAGGCAGCAGUAGGGAAUCUUCCGCAAAGGGCGAAAGCCUGACGGAGCAACGCCGCGUGAGUGAUGAAGGUCUUCGGAUCGUAAAACUCUGUUAUUAGGGAAGAACAAAUGUGUAAGUAACUAUGCACGUCUUGACGGUACCUAAUCAGAAAGCCACGGCUAACUACGUG
RNAcentral lists this ribosomal RNA (497 nucleotides) under uncultured bacterium. RNAcentral's name for it is "partial 16S ribosomal RNA". It matches the Rfam family "Bacterial small subunit ribosomal RNA", at positions 28 to 507 of the family's 1533-position model. The record is from RNAcentral.